Molecule: ribosomal RNA, 423 nt
Filed under: uncultured Ethanoligenens sp.
Lineage: Bacteria; Bacillati; Bacillota; Clostridia; Eubacteriales; Oscillospiraceae
Description: bacterial SSU rRNA
Rfam family: Bacterial small subunit ribosomal RNA
Source: RNAcentral
UGGGGGAUAUUGCACAAUGGAGGAAACUCUGAUGCAGCAACGCCGCGUGAGGGAAGAAGGUUUUCGGAUUGUAAACCUCUGUUUUUAGUGACGAAGAAUGACGGUAGCUAAAGAGGAAGCCACGGCUAACUACGUGCCAGCAGCCGCGGUAAUACGUAGGUGGCAAGCGUUGUCCGGAAUUACUGGGUGUAAAGGGUGCGCAGGCGGGAUAGCAAGUUGGAUGUGAAAUACCGAGGCUUAACUUCGGAGCUGCAUCCAAAACUGUUAUUCUUGAGUGAAGUAGAGGUAGGCGGAAUUCCGAGUGUAGCGGUGAAAUGCGUAGAUAUUCGGAGGAACACCAGUGGCGAAGGCGGCCUACUGGGCUUUAACUGACGCUGAGGCACGAAAGUAUGGGUAGCAAACAGGAUUAGAUACCCUGGUAGU